CCCACUGCACCAUACAAGGACAAGCCAAUCAAACAGUAGCUUUGUCCAGAAGUUGUUACUGGGCGGACUGGUCGAUGGACCACCAAAACCUCUUUCCUGGGCCCCUCUUACAGAUACGGAUGGAUCCCACCUGGAUUAGCGCGUGAAUCCAAACGACCCAGCUGCGAUAUUUUCUUCCGCAUCCAAUGUUUGUCCUCAGUUCACCCGCCACGAUGUCUUUCUUUUUUUGACCUUUUUUUUUUUAUUACUCUAUUUCUUCCGCUACGAACCUUGUUAAUUGGCGCUUUCACUUGUUCGUUUCAAGUUGGCAUGAGGGCGUGAACAGCACGCAAUGUCAUGUCAGAACAUACUUCCGUGUUCCAACUAUCAAUGUCAGUAAUUGGUUUGCUGAGGCGGCUGGGGCCAUGGCUCGUUCAUAAUUUUGGAGGGCGUGAAAGUCACGUGCCGUUACAGGCCAUGGGUUGGCAUCCAUUUUGGUCUUCUUCUGGGCAAGUAACUUUCUUGAUCUUCUCGAUCUCCAUCAUCUUGAUAAUAAAGACCAGUUGCUGGAAGCAUAACACAGCUACUUCUGAU
This 573-nucleotide unclassified non-coding RNA is filed under the name Hevea brasiliensis (rubber tree). The record is from RNAcentral. Lineage: Eukaryota; Viridiplantae; Streptophyta; Magnoliopsida; Malpighiales; Euphorbiaceae.